Molecule: long non-coding RNA, 1128 nt
Filed under: Junco hyemalis (dark-eyed junco)
Lineage: Eukaryota; Metazoa; Chordata; Aves; Passeriformes; Passerellidae
Description: lncRNA (ENSJHYG00000008455.1)
Source: RNAcentral
CGGGGACCCGCCCGCGGGGGGCGCGUGACGCCCUGUGGCGGGGCUGGGCCGCGGGUCCCGCGCCGGGAGCCCCUGAGGGGUGAGCCCCCUGAGGGGUGAGCCCCCUCACGGCGGGGCCGGGGCUGCCAAAAAUUCAUUACGGCUCUGCCCGAAAGCGAAUGCGAAGCUCUUCACGCAGUUACUGCUAAGCUUUUUCCUAUUUUUGUUUAUUUAUUAUGCCAAUGUAUUUCAAGUCUUUGAGUUAGAACACCUUUGCAUGCACAUAUUUUCCUCUCUAAAAAUUUGCUAAAUUGUUUUGCUGGAUAUAUGAACUCUCAACUUGUUUGGGCAUUUUUAGCAGUAGAGUCCUCAGACCUUGCAGGCAAAGGUUGGAAAGAUCGUUCAGGGCUGUGCACAGGGGAACAGCAGUGAUCUGCAGCAGCUGCUUGUCCAAGCCCGGAAAGGACUAGUGACAAAGCAAAUUAAUUCGUUUGUCAGCUCCGUGCCUUCUGUUUAAUGCACGUGCUAGCAGCGAGCCACAUUCUUUCACUGCGAUCCAAAUAUUUUGUGAUAAUGCGACGAUGUUCCUCCAAUGCUUACUGAAAAUAUCCUUUAAAGGUGGUUUUGGACAGCUGUAAUUCUCCUGCACUGAGAGAGGCCUUUCAGCAUUGUCUUCAAUCAGCAUUUUGAAUGAAGUGCUUAAUUGUGCCAAAAAUUCAUUGCAGUACUUUUCCCCUCAUAGGCUGAAGAGAAGACUGAUGCUCAAAGUCAGAAGCUGGGAAGUGGGGUCCGCUGUGUUUUUGAACGGCAGAAGAAGUAUGAAGAAAAAUAGAAUAUGCUGGAAAUCUGACAGUCUCCCUCAUGAGACCUCACCAUGGCAUGCUGUGGAUGGCACCUGUCCUGCCAGGAGAGCUGGCUCAGGCACUGGUGGCUGCAGCUCAGGAGUGAGCACCACUGCAGCCGAGCAGUGCUGUGAAGUGGUGCCUUUGUCUUCAGUAGCUUUUUACCAUAUUGUGGGCAUCCAGCCCUGCAGCAUCAGAUGGGUGUGGGGAUGAACAGCCAUGGAUAACACUUCUUUUCCAUUUUCUGUAGCAGUUACAGCAUUACAUUGUAAAACCUACAUAUUAAACUAAAUUAAAAAUAUCCCCU